RNAcentral lists this ribosomal RNA (251 nucleotides) under uncultured prokaryote. RNAcentral's name for it is "partial 16S rRNA". It matches the Rfam family "Bacterial small subunit ribosomal RNA", at positions 525 to 775 of the family's 1533-position model. The record is from RNAcentral.
ACGGAGGGUGCAAGCGUUGUUCGGAAUCACUGGGCGUAAAGGGCGCGCAGGCGGUUUGGUAAGUUAGAUGUGAAAGCCCACGGCUUAACCGUGGAAGUGCAUUUGAAACUGCCAGACUUGAGUAUCAGAGGGGAAAGUGGAAUUCCCGGUGUAGAGGUUAAAUUCUUAGAUAUCGGGAGGAAUACCAGUGGCGAAGGCGACUUUCAGGCUGAAUACUGACACUGAUGCGCGAAAGCUUGUGGAUCAAACAU